UACGAAGGGGGCUAGCGUUGUUCGGAAUUACUGGACGUAAAGCGCACGUAGGCGGGUCUGUAAGUAGAGGGUGAAAUCCCAGGGCUCAACCCUGGAACUGCCUUCUAGACUGCAGGCCUCGAGGUCAGGAGAGGCGAGUGGAAUACCGAGUGUAGAGGUGAAAUUCGUAGAUAUUCGGUGGAACACCAGUGGCGAAGGCGACUCGCUGGACUGAUACUGACGCUGAGGUGCGAAAGCGUGGGGAGCAAACAGG
RNAcentral lists this ribosomal RNA (253 nucleotides) under uncultured bacterium. Its description in RNAcentral is "partial 16S ribosomal RNA". It matches the Rfam family "Bacterial small subunit ribosomal RNA", at positions 524 to 776 of the family's 1533-position model. The record is from RNAcentral.